AUUAACUUCUUCCACAUAAUUGAAUCCACCAAUAUGGUAAGACCUGUGCUGAGAAUUAGAUAAACAUUAAUGAUGCCAAACCAAGAAAGAAAAAUAAGUUCUAUGGAAAAGUUUAUUCUAAGAGAAAUAGGAAGGCCUAAUGCUUAAACUUAGUUCCCUUUUUAGUUUACUUUCCAUUAUGGAUUUUCUUCAAUUAAUCAUUUUACAUUUCCCGUCUAGGUUUUUGUAGGUAGCUUUAAACUGUUCCAAUAUGAUUGUGCUUGGUGCUUAUAUAAAAGAAUUGUAAUUUGAGAUUUACACUACUGGGAUUAUUAUUCAAACAUUCUUCAAUAAAAAUUUCAAUGAGCAAGCAAAAUAUUUGACUUAUGAAAGAAUUAAUUUUAUGGUGCAAUCUGUAUGCCAUUAGAAGCACUAUCUGUUACCUCAAGAGUUUUUUUUUUUUAAAUAAAUCUGUUACCUCAAGAGUUUGUUUUAUAUUCUGACUACUUGGCUUCCUAUUGUAGUAUGAAUUGUUCAUACAUUUCAGUUCGAAAGAACUAAUGAAUCCACUAAGGUCAGUGAUCUAGAUCUAUUAGUUUGGUGAUGUGACUAACAUUUAUAAGAUCAUUACUAAGGUCCAAUCCUUGCAGCCUGUGGUGCUGGGCAAUAUGAUUUCACCACUCAUAGUGCCUUGUUGAUAGACAAAUUCAUAAUGCCUCUCCUAUUUUCAAUAAGUGAUUGAGGAUGUAACAAGGUGCAGAGCAACCUUUUCUCAAGUUAAAAUUUUGAAAUGCUUGUGAUAGAGUUACUUGGUGAUUUUUGGAUAAGAUUCUGGAAAGUAAGGGCUUUCAAUAGCUAUAGAGAAGGUGAUCGAUAAAGGACCCAUUUUUGUCAUCUCGUGGUUGAUGUCCUAAGUCAGAUAUAUGGGCAUGGUGCUAGUUUGAAUGUGUUCGGGGGGGAGGGAGGGAGGAGGUGUCUGAAUAUUCCCUUUCAUUUACUAUAUGAAUAUUUUGUUAUAUUAUGUACCUCUUAUAUGAGCUUGAGGUCACUUUGGGCCAACGAAUUAAUUUGAGCGAAAAUGGUUUGCCAACAUAAAUCUGGAGGAUCAUGCCAUUGGUGGCUUGGCUAAUAUCAUCUGGUGCACAAUCUUUCAAUAGCCUUAUUUAGAGGUGCUCUUGGGGGCAAUACACAUAAUUUCUUCAUUGGGAUCCCACUUUGGGUAACAUCACUAAGCAACUAGACCUGGAAGCUGCUCUAUUCUCUUUAAAGGAUUAGCUCAACUCCUUUAGGCAUGUUUGUGUAGCAUUCCUCUUUACUAUUCUCUCUCUUUAGAACUGUGGUUAGUAUCAUCAAGAGAAUUGAGAAAAUUAGGAGUCUCCAUGGUCUAAGGUGGUAUCAAGAUCUUGACUCAUGCACCCGAGGAGUCACCUGACUAGGUUAAGAAGAAAGAAAAGUAGAGAAGGCUGGGAGAAGAGAAGCAAAAUGCUGGAGAGAGAGAGAGAGACAUGAGAAGGGAUAGAUGAACAGAAGAAUAAGAGAAUAGAAAAUGCCUGAUAAAUCAGAUAAGAUUUUCAUUAGCAUUUUGCAUAAUGUUCCUUACAUCCUUACUAGGUUAAAUACUAGGCUGGUGAGAAGAACAGAUAAAACAGGAUAGCUAACUUCCUGUGUGGUACAACUAAAGGCAGCAUUCUAGCAAGGUGCCAAGUAUAUUCCUGGUUCUAACGGCUAGUAUA
RNAcentral lists this long non-coding RNA (1712 nucleotides) under Carica papaya (papaya). Its description in RNAcentral is "long non-coding RNA (CPAP_LNC014123)". Lineage: Eukaryota; Viridiplantae; Streptophyta; Magnoliopsida; Brassicales; Caricaceae. The record is from RNAcentral.